RNAcentral lists this ribosomal RNA (931 nucleotides) under Corynactis viridis. RNAcentral's name for it is "partial 16S ribosomal RNA". It matches the Rfam family "Bacterial large subunit ribosomal RNA", at positions 1827 to 2617 of the family's 2925-position model. Lineage: Eukaryota; Metazoa; Cnidaria; Anthozoa; Corallimorpharia; Corallimorphidae. The record is from RNAcentral.
UAAUCCGAAAGUUUAAUUAUGGGGGGUGAGACCUGCCCAAUGGUUGUAUCUAAAAGGGUCGGUUGGGCCGACUUUAUAAAGACAAUUGAAUGGCUGCGGUAACACUGACCGUGAAAAUGUAGCGUAAUCAAUAGUCAAUUAAUUGUUGGCCGGUAUGAAUGGUGCCACGAGGGUCUCACUGUCUUAAGAAAAUCCCCAGUGAAAUUGAAUUUGUAGUGAUGAUGCUACAUAAAAAUUGUUGGACGAGAAGUCCCCAUGAAACUUUACUGGAGACUUAUGUGGCUUGUGCUGACUGAUCGAACUAGGCUCAAUCAGUGAAAGCAUCUAACAAAUAAAUAGCUUAGACUAUGUGGUGUUAACCGUUUUAUUUAAAACUUUAGGGAGUAGUGUUUAGAGUAGUCUUCAGACUAAAGUAAAAAACACAUAUGUUUUUUUUACACCCGCCUCUUUCAAAAUUUAGGUUAGUCAAACUCAUCUUUUAUUUUAAGAAAGCUAACUCUUCUUUUGAAUUAAGUUCGAUUGGUGGGGGGUACCCCACCACAUUUUAGGAGUGGUGAAUUUCUGGGUUAGAGAAAUGGGGUAAGUUAGACAGUUUGGUAGGGGCGAUCGCCUUUUAAAAAGUAACGAAGGUGAGCGUAAGAUACAUAUUUAAUAGCUGUCGUCUGACUGUGAAGGGGGGGCCCUGAGCAGACACUAAAAACCGCCUUGUGCGGGGAAUAGUGGGUUGCAGUGACCCGUUGAUUUAAGGUGAAAUAGUUAACGAUAAACAAAUAAAAGUUACUCUGGGGAUAACAGCGCAAUAACGUUAGAGGGUUUUUCUUGAUGACGAUGUUUGCGACCUCGAUGUUGAAUUGCGGCAUCCUGGGGUGCAGUCGCCCCCAAGGGUGGGUCUGUUCGUCCCUUAAAGCCUUACAUGAUUUGGGUUUCAUUC